AGAAAGGAAGAGAAGCUGAACAAGAAGG
This 28-nucleotide non-coding RNA is filed under the name Cricetulus griseus (Chinese hamster). The record is from RNAcentral. Lineage: Eukaryota; Metazoa; Chordata; Mammalia; Rodentia; Cricetidae.